GCCACCCAGUAGUUAGGUGUGAAUUUUCGAGACCUUUGGCACCGUUCUAAGAUGGGUCCUCUCUUCGUAGGCUAAUGCAUUGGCCCUUUUUGACCCGUUUUGGGCGAAAACAAAAACUGACUCCCGGGCAUAUUUUUUUCGGCCUUUAUGGGCAGAGAACUUUAAUACCGCUCGAAAUGAGGCCACCCAGUAGUUAGGUGUGAAUUUUCGAGACCUUUGGCACCGUUCUAAGAUGGGUCCUCUCUUCGUAGGCUAAUGCAUUGGCCCUUUUUGACCCGUUUUGGGGCGAAAACAAAAACUGACUCCCGGGCAUAUUUUUUUCGGCCUUUAUGGGCAGAGAACUUUAAUACCGCUCGAAAUGAGGCCACCCAGUAGUUAGGUGUGAAUUUUCGAGACCUUUGGCACCGUUCUAAGAUGGGUCCUCUCUUCGUAGGCUAAUGCAUUGGCCCUUUUUGACCCGUUUUGGGGCGAAAACAAAAACUGACUCCCGGGCAUAUUUUUUUUCGGCCUUUAUGGGCAGAGAACUUUAAUACCGCUCGAAAUGAGGCCACCCAGUAGUUAGGUGUGAAUUUUCGAGACCUUUGGCACCGUUCUAAGAUGGGUCCUCUCUUCGUAGGCUAAU
Molecule: long non-coding RNA, 622 nt
Filed under: Cucumis sativus (cucumber)
Lineage: Eukaryota; Viridiplantae; Streptophyta; Magnoliopsida; Cucurbitales; Cucurbitaceae
Description: long non-coding RNA (CSAT_LNC000474)
Source: RNAcentral